Molecule: ribosomal RNA, 1302 nt
Filed under: uncultured cyanobacterium
Lineage: Bacteria; Bacillati; Cyanobacteriota
Description: bacterial SSU rRNA
Rfam family: Bacterial small subunit ribosomal RNA (bases 1-1167)
Source: RNAcentral
UGCAGCUUGCCCGGGGGAUAGAGACGCGUAGAAGAUGACGGAGCAGGACCGCGUGGGGGAGGAAGGUUCUUGGAUUGUCAACCCCUUUUCUCAGGGAAGAACGCAAUGACGGUACCUGAGGAAAAAGCAUCGGCUAACUCCGUGCCAGCAGCCGCGGUAAUACGGGGGAUGCAAGCGUUAUCCGGAAUGAUUGGGCGUAAAGAGUCCGUAGGUAGUCAUCCAAGUCUGCUGUUAAAGAGCGAGGCUUAACCUCGUAAAGGCAGUGGAAACUGGAAGACUAGAGUGUAGUAGGGGCAGAGGGAAUUCCUGGUGUAGCGGUGAAAUGCGUAGAGAUCAGGAAGAACACCGGUGGCGAAGGCGCUCUGCUGGGCUAUAACUGACACUGAGGGACGAAAGCUAGGGGAGCGAAUGGGAUUAGAUACCCCAGUAGUCCUAGCGGUAAACGAUGGAAACUAGGUGUGGCCUGUAUCGACCCGGGCCGUGCCGAAGCAAACGCGUUAAGUUUCCCGCCUGGGGAGUACGCACGCAAGUGUGAAACUCAAAGGAAUUGACGGGGGCCCGCACAAGCGGUGGAGUAUGUGGUUUAAUUCGAUGCAACGCGAAGAACCUUACCAGGACUUGACAUCUCUGGAAUCUCCUUGAAAGGGGAGAGUGCCGUAAGGAACCAGAAGACAGGUGCUGCAUGGCUGUCGUCAGCUCGUGUCGUGAGAUGUUGGGUUAAGUCCCGCAACGAGCGCAACCCUCGUCGUUAGUUUGCCAUCAUUAAGUUGGGAACUCUAGCGAGACUGCCGGUGACAAACCGGAGGAAGGUGAGGAUGACGUCAAGUCAGCAUGGCCCUUACGUCCUGGGCGACACACGUACUACAAUGCGAGGGACAGAGAGCAGCCAACCCGCGAGGGAGAGCGAAUCUCAUAAACCCUGGCACAGUUCAGAUUGCUGGCUGCAACUCGCCUGCAUGAAGGAGGAAUCGCUAGUAAUCGCAGUCAGCAUACUGCGGUGAAUCCGUUCCCGGGCCCUGUACACACCGCCCGCCAACCAUGGAAGUGAGCCACGCUCGACGUCAUUAUUCUAACCGGAAAGGGAGAGGUGCGAAGCGGGGUUGAUGACUUGGUGAAGUCGUAACAAGUUAGCCCGUACCGAAAGGGUGUGCCUGGAUUCCACCCUCCUUUUAGGGAAGACUUACUUUUGUAAUGAAAAGUGCCAAAUUCUAAACAAAGCCCCCUCUAGUCAUCAAGCACGCCUUAGGAAGAAUAGAAACCUUUCACAUGGAUAUCUAAAAGUUUCGCGGAAAAGGCCUGCUG